RNAcentral lists this small RNA (339 nucleotides) under Pongo abelii (Sumatran orangutan). Its description in RNAcentral is "processed transcript". Lineage: Eukaryota; Metazoa; Chordata; Mammalia; Primates; Hominidae. The record is from RNAcentral.
AAGGCUCUUCGAUCAAGAACAUAACUAGGAAUCAUUUGAGGUGAUUCAAGAAUGUUGAAUAUUAGCCCCCACUCUCUUCUGGCUUGUAGAGUUUCUGCCGAGAGAUCCGCUGUUAGCCUGUUGGGCUUCCCUUUGGACACCAAUGAGUUGUGUCUUCCCUCUGUCCACUCUCAGCACCUUCACUCUGAAGAUCUGUUAAAAGCACACAAGUCGUCUCAGUCCCUCAGUGGGAGCUGUUUCACCUGAUGUCAUCUAGUCAGCCAUCUUCAAUAAUAACUGUUAAAUGAGCGUUUAUAUCCACUGAAACCACUAAGUGAAAUAAAGAUGUGUUUAGGCAAA